ACACGACCGUACCGCAAACCGACACUGGUGCGCGAGAUGAGUAUUCUAAGGCGCUUGAGAGAACUCAGGAGAAGGAACUCGGCAAAUUGACACCGUAACUUCGGAAGAAGGUGUGCCUUUAGUAGGUGAAGUCCCUCGCGGAUGGAGCCCAAUGAGGUUGCAAAGAAUCGGUGGCUGCGACUGUUUAUUAAAAACACAGCACUCUGCAAACACGAAAGUGGACGUAUAGGGUGUGACGCCUGCCCGGUGCUGGAAGAUUAAAUGAUGGGGUGCAAGCUCUUGAUUGAAGUCCCAGUAAACGGCGGCCGUAACAAUAACGGUCCUAAGGUAGCGAAAUUCCUUGUCGGGUAAGUUCCGACCUGCACGAAUGGCGUAACGAUGGCCACACUGUCUCCUCCUGAGACUCAGCGAAGUUGAAAUGUUUGUGAUGAUGCAAUCUCCCCGCGGAAAGACGGAAAGACCCCAUGAACCUUUACUGUAGCUUUGUAUUGGACUUUGAACAGAUCUGUGUAGGAUAGGUGGGAGGCUUUGAAGCAGGGUCGCUAGAUCUUGUGGAGCCAACGUUGAAAUACCACCCUGGUGUGUUUGAGGUUCUAACCUAGGCCCGUAAUCCGGGUUGGGGACAGUGCAUGGUAGGCAGUUUGACUGGGGCGGUCUCCUCCCAAAGUGUAACGGAGGAGUUCGAAGGUACGCUAGUUACGGUCGGACAUCGUGACGAUAGUGCAAUGGCAUAAGCGUGCUUAACUGCGAGACUGACAAGUCGAGCAGAUGCGAAAGCAGGACAUAGUGAUCCGGUGGUUCUGUAUGGAAGGGCCAUCGCUCAACGGAUAAAAGGUACUCUGGGGAUAACAGGCUGAUACCGCCCAAGAGUUCAUAUCGACGGCGGUGUUUGGCACCUCGAUGUCGGCUCAUCUCAUCCUGGGGCUGUAGCCGGUCCCAAGGGUAUGGCUGUUCGCCAUUUAAAGAGGUACGUGAGCUGGGUUUAAAACGUCGUGAGACAGUUUGGUCCCUAUCUUCCGUGGGCGCUGCAGAUUUGAGGAAGCCUGCUCCUAGUACGAGAGGACCGGAGUGGACGCACCUCUGGUGUAUCGGUUGUCACGCCAGUGGCAUUGCCGAGUAGCUAUGUGCGGAAGAGAUAACCGCUGAAAGCAUCUAAGCGGGAAACUCGUUUCAAGAUGAGAUCUGCCGGGGCCUUGAGCCCCCUGAAGAGUCGUUCAAGACCAGGACGUUGAUAGGUCGGGUGUGGAAGCGCAGUAAUGCGUUAAGCUAACCGAUACUAAUUGCUCGUGCGGCUUGACCCC
Molecule: ribosomal RNA, 1301 nt
Filed under: metagenome
Description: bacterial LSU rRNA
Rfam family: Bacterial large subunit ribosomal RNA
Source: RNAcentral